CGCAGGCGUAUGGGUUAGUCCCGUACGAGCGUCAACCUUGUCCCUAAUUGCCAGCACGUAAUGCGGGGAACUCUAGGGAGACUGCCGGUGACAAACCGGAGGAAGGUGGGGACGACGUCAAGUCAUCAUGGCCCUUACGGCCUGGGCUACACACGUGCUACAAUGGGCAGUACAGAGGGCAGCAAAGUCGCGAGGCCAAGCAAAUCCCUUAAAACUGUUCGUAGUCCGGAUUGGAGUCUGCAACUCGACUCCAUGAAGUCGGAUCGCUAGUAAUCGCGGAUCAGAAUGCCGCGGUGAAUACGUUCCGGGCCUUGUACUCACCGCCCGUAUA
Molecule: ribosomal RNA, 331 nt
Filed under: uncultured bacterium
Lineage: Bacteria
Description: bacterial SSU rRNA
Rfam family: Bacterial small subunit ribosomal RNA
Source: RNAcentral